UACAGAGGUCUCUAGCGUUGUUCGGAUUCAUUGGGCGUAAAGGGUGCGUAGGUGGCGCUGUAAGUCGGGUGUGAAAUUUCGGAGCUUAACUCCGAAACUGCAUUCGAUACUGCGGUGCUUGAGGACUGGAGAGGAGACUGGAAUUCAUGGUGUAGCAGUGAAAUGCGUAGAGAUCAUGAGGAAGACCAGUGGCGAAGGCGGGUCUCUGGACAGUUCCUGACACUGAGGCACGAAGGCCAGGGGAGCAAACGGG
This 253-nucleotide ribosomal RNA is filed under the name uncultured bacterium. RNAcentral describes it as "partial 16S ribosomal RNA". It matches the Rfam family "Bacterial small subunit ribosomal RNA", at positions 524 to 776 of the family's 1533-position model. The record is from RNAcentral.